GACCAAUUAUCUUUGAAUUUACUCAACUAACAUUUCCAAGUUAGCUUCAAAUGGUUUGUGAUGUCAGAAUUGAGCUAUUGUAAUCACUAAUGAGAAGACGUUAUUUACUUUUAAUACACAACUCAUCUCAACCUUUUUUUUCCAACUGUUAAUACACCUAACCUCGAAGUGGUUUCCUGUUUCAGCUAAUAUUCUGAUGUCAAAUAUUGAACUACACUACAAAACAAAAUGAGAUGAACCACCUCCAGUUUUAACUGUGCACAGUCCAAACUAAAUUAAAACAGUUCGAAUUAUACAAAUCCUCUAUCUAUUGUUCCUAUAACACAAGUUACAAUUAGCCAAAUAAGUGCACAAUCUAUCUAAUUACGAACGACAAAAAAUAAUCCAUGCAUGUAAAUUUGAUGAACAUUUUCAUUUCAAUUCCAGUCAUAGAUUACACUGAUAUGAGUUCAAACUGUGUACCUGGAAGUUGAAAAUAAGAUCAGCAACAAGAAUACUACAGCAGCAAUAUAAGAUCUUAGAAAACCAACACGGCACCAAUUGACCAAAAAUAGGCCCCACUAAACCACACACUCGAUGAAUGAUCCAUAGCCAACUCAGAUAAACCAACACCAAUGUUCAAAUGAUUCCAAACACUUCCAGAUUUGAAGUAUUGAACAGAAACAAAGAACUCAAGCUAUUUUUGGGUUUCAAAAUGGGUUGGAGAGUCGAACUAAAGAUGAGAUUUGAAAAUAACCUAAAGGAAAACAAUCGAACAAUGUUUGUUUUUUGGUUUUUUAUUAUAUUUAUACUAUUUUUGGCAUUAAUUUUUCAGAGCUGAAAACUUGAAAAUGGUCGAAGGCAAUGAAACAUUACUCUAUCAUCUCCCUAAAACUGAAUUCCUCUUCUUCUUUUUAACUCUUUCCAACUCUCAAAAUGCUGUCUCAAAACUGAAAAACUCUCCCUCUUUUCAAUCUCAGAUUCUCUAAAAUGUCCCCCCCCCAUUCAAUGUCUGAGCCCCCUCUAUUUAUAUCCAAACUCAACCCUUUCCAUCCCCUUAAAAUACUUAACCAGAUAGAAAACUAAUUUCCCCAUCCUGAUCUCUGAUUUUCCAACAUGUAAAGACUGCCAGUUCCACUACUAGCUCCCUUUCCCAUUAUUCUAAUUCAAUUAGUGUGGGCAACCUGAAUUCUAAAUUAAUGGUAUGGGCACGCCCAUACUUUAAAUUAAUUCCCACGUUCCUUUGUAAUUGAUCCCUAAAACCCCAUGUUAUUUAUGACCUUUUCAAACUUAGUAAAGCACUCAAAUCACCCAAUAAUCCUAUGUUACUUAAUGCAUCCGAAAGUUCUGGAUAUAAAAAGAAGACAGAAAUGCAAACAAACCAAUACAAAUGCACUUUACAAUUAAGGAAACAUAUGACAAUUGAAUCACAUUGAUUCAUUUGAAAAAUUAAUCGGCUAUAAGAAUUAAAAGAACACUGAAGAAAGAAAACAAUAAAAGAAGAAGAAAAAUGAAUAAAGCUAAAAAAGAAGAAGAAAACUUACCAGAAUCAAUACUCGAACGGUUGAUCUGCAAAGAAAUCCCCUAUUUUUGGACUGAGAUAUACUUUAACCAUGUAUUCUCUACCGAAAAUAUAUGAAGAAAGUCAAUCUCAACUCGAAAUUCAUGAAGCCCGGCUAAUAUGAUUUUUCGUUUACUUGAUCCAAAAUUCGAGAAAUUCUAUGAUGAUUCAACGGAAACUAAGUAGGGAUUUGUGGUGAGGAAGGUUUGGUGGUCGCUUGGUGUCAAUUUGGGGUUAAUUGGAUGAACUAGGGUUCGGGAUCGAUUCUUUGAUCUAAUAUUUGAAGCAUCCUAGGGUGAUUCGAGGGUAUUGGUUAGAGAGUUGGGAUGGGGAGGUCGAGGGGGUUCCAUGGUGUAAUUUUGGGAGGGAUUGGACCACCGAAACCGCCAUGAGUCACUUUUUGAUGGGC
RNAcentral lists this long non-coding RNA (1949 nucleotides) under Nicotiana benthamiana. Its description in RNAcentral is "long non-coding RNA (NBEN_LNC032092)". Lineage: Eukaryota; Viridiplantae; Streptophyta; Magnoliopsida; Solanales; Solanaceae. The record is from RNAcentral.